RNAcentral lists this ribosomal RNA (465 nucleotides) under uncultured bacterium. RNAcentral describes it as "partial 16S ribosomal RNA". It matches the Rfam family "Bacterial small subunit ribosomal RNA", at positions 338 to 795 of the family's 1533-position model. The record is from RNAcentral.
CCUACGGGUGGCAGCAGUGGGGAAUUUUGGACAAUGGGCGCAAGCCUGAUCCAGCUAUUCCGCGUGUGGGAAGACGGCCUUCGGGUUGUAAACCACUUUUGUAGAGAACGAAAAGUCUAUUGAUAAUACCGAUAGAUGAUGACGGUACUCUAAGAAUAAGCACCGGCUAACUACGUGCCAGCAGCCGCGGUAAUACGUAGGGUGCGAGCGUGAAUCGGAAUUACUGGGCGUAACGGGUGUGCAGGCGGUUUUGCAAGAUGGAUGUGAAAGCCCCGGGCUUAACCUGGGAAAGCCAUACAUGACUGCAAGACUAGAGUGCGUCAGAGGGGGGUGGAAUUCCAAGUGUAGCAGUGAAAUGCGUAGAUAUUUGGAAGAACACCGAUGGCGAAGGCAGCCCCCUGGGACGCAACUGACGCUCAUACACGAAAGCGUGGGGAGCAAACAGGAUUAGAUACCCUUGUAGUC